Zingiber officinale is the source of this 165-nucleotide small nuclear RNA. RefSeq annotates it as U1 spliceosomal RNA. The transcript has a single exon. The record is from RefSeq and is a predicted model, not a curated record. NCBI's taxonomy places the organism in Eukaryota, Viridiplantae, Streptophyta, Magnoliopsida, Zingiberales, Zingiberaceae.
UGACUUGCUAGAAUUGGAUAGGUCUAUGGGUGAUCAAGAAGGCAUAUGAUUUAGCAUAAUGAUCUUUAUUGUACUUUGGAGGGGAAUUGGUCUACCAUCUCCGUGAUUGGGAGAUUGGACAUUAUAAUUUAUGAUAGUGUGGUAGUAUGUAUACGCGCGACCUCU